This is a non-coding RNA of Podarcis lilfordi (Lilford's wall lizard), 4929 nucleotides long. The record is from the annotation of a GenBank genome assembly. Lineage: Eukaryota; Metazoa; Chordata; Lepidosauria; Squamata; Lacertidae.
CCACUCUCUUGGGCAAACGCCAGCUCCCUCGUCCUGAAAGCGAGAUGAGCACCACAACCCCAGAGUUGCCUUCGACUGGACUUAACUGUCCAGGGGUCCUUUACCUUUAGUGAGCUAGAAGCAGGUGGCAGGUGGAAGUCUGUGCUGGAAUCCAAGGCUAUGGUUGUCAGACCUUGUGGUGUUGACUCUGAGCCCCUCCAUCGUAGGCUCAGAUUGUGUGUGUGUGUGUGUGUGUGUGUGUGUGUGUGAAUAAGCCAUAUAUCCUACAGACACAGCAGUCUCCACUGUCCCUCAUUCUGAGGAAAACAAACCCUGGGUUAAGUGCCUGGAAUCCCCGGAGCUCUCAAACCUGGGAGUGAUGCUGAGAACCAGUAUAGAACUACAUGGGCUAAUGAUUCAACUUGAUAUAAGGCAGUGCCCUAUGUUCUUACAGAUAAGAUGGUGUUGGAAAUACCAAUGCUAUUUUGUUCAAAUGAGCUUAAGAAACGAUCAUACUGAGUCAUCGGCCCACCUAGUUCGGUGUUGUAUAUUUUAAAAUUAGCUGGCAACAGCUCUUCCAAGGUCUUAUGUCAGGUGCCUUUCCUUCCUUUGCUUCUUAAAAUGUGAUGCGGGUGCCUUGGUGUCAAGACACACUGCCAUAUUAUAAGGUUAACAAACGUCCCUGUUUCCAGGGGAAAGUCCCCAGAUUUACAAAUCAGUCCCCUGACAAAAUCCGUCUCCAUCAGCCAAAGUUGAAAAGUGUUCCCGGAUUCAUUGAAAAGAAUCCGGUAACCUUACCAUAUUAGGCAAAUUAUAAACCUAGCAGGUCCCAAGGGAGCUUUCAUAACCAUAGCUGUCAACUUACAGAUUUGAAAAUAAGAGACCAGCAGCCUCGAAAAUAAGGGAUCAGCAGCCAAAAUAUGGGAUUUCCUCCCCCCUCCCCGCCAUGUGCCCACGCUCCAGAGAGACCUUUUCCCCGGCAAGGGUGAAUGGGCCGUUGAUGACAUAUCCAUCCGAUUCCGAGCACAGGUAUGUUCAACUUCUGAGCCCCUCCAAGCCAAAGGCAGAAAGCCCAGCCAGCAGCCAAACGAAGCCUCAAGCGGUGGUUCCCACAGUGCAGCAACCCGGCAAAGGGGAUGCAGCAAGGAAAACCACCGUCACCUCUCCGCUGGGAAGCGCUGAGCAAAGGCGAGUCUCCAGGCAACGCGGCCGAUUUGAUCGGCACAAGGCAUGCAAGCUCCACCCCCCAUUCGUUCUUAGACUCCUUAUUGGGUGAGCAAUGCAGCCAAGCAACACAGUUGGAGCCUCCCUCCUCCCUGGCCGGCAGGGAGGGAGGAAGAGGAGCUGAUUCCUUUGAAACCUGGGAAAUUUACAGGAUAUCAUCAAUCCAGGACAGCAGUGGGACACGGUGCUGGGAUAAGAGAGUUUCCCACCAAAUAAGGGACGGUUGACAGCUAUGUUCAUAACAUCUAACAACACUGGCACAACAUCAUGUUAGCCCAGUAUAUCUGUUAAUAUCCUAUUCUAAGCUCUCGGAAUAAGUGAUAGAAUCACACAUUGGAGUAUUAGACAAUGCUGGAAACUCUGAAAAUGCACAGUUCAGCAGAUUAACAUUUGGUUUAGGCAAAGUGAAAGAAAUGGCAGAUACAAGAGGCAUAUUUAUGCAAGCUGAGUACCAUGUUGCGGCAAGAGUAAUUUCUAGCCAUUUUAAAACAAGGUUUGGCACAGUAGAUGGCACUAUAGUGCAAGAAUUGCAAGUACUUUUUAAAAUUCUGCAAAAGCAUCUAGCAUCCAUUCCUGAAGGUAUUUUAUUUAUCCAUCUAAUUUUAAUGCAAGUAUGUACCGUAAUGCUCAUAUGGGGACUGCCAAUAAUGUAGUAUCCCAACUGUUGCUUUAUAGUUCCUCUUGAGGAUAUUAUCUAUAAAUGGGAUAGUGUAAAGUCACUUACAAAAUACAAAAAUCAAGUGGGAAAUGGGCAUUUGUCUCUUCCAUCUUGUAGGAUCGAGAAGGUUUUCUUCCGAAAGAAUAUAAUUUCUGCCUACAACGAGUGGUCAAAAAGAUGUUGCAUAAACCUGUCAGGUGCGUGUGUACCUAUAAUGAUCCCAAGUGUUGACUGGCAACACAGCUUAUGAAUUGUGUGGCUCACCCUAAAGAGUUCAUAAAUAGCUUAGUUCUCAGGCAGUCUCCAGGGCUGGGUACCCUUGCAUCAACCGUACCAAUUGCAACAUUUGACCCCAGCUCUAAAUGGCAAUGAAUAAGUAUCAUCAAUAUUUUAAAUAAGCACAUGGCAAUCUUUUUAAAAUGUAAAGGACCAUACUUGUGCUAUGAGACUUUUUAUGGCAAUGGUUCCAGAAAAAAACAGGACACACGGUAUUUAUGCCUCUUCUGAUUCAGUGCCUUCAAUUUUAUUCAUUCUUGGUGUCCUGUAAUUUAACAAAUCGCCCCUUGUGGAUUUGACUCAGCAGCGGGUUUAUUUUCGAGUACUUGGGGAUGUUGAUAAUAAGAUAAUGUCAUCGCCACACCACCACUAGGUCACACUGUAAAAAUACACCUCUUUGGCAUAGCAUUUCCCUAAGAGUCAAAAUGACAGGGGAGAGAAUGACAGGGGAGAGAUACCAUUUUGAAGGGAAGAACUCUAAUGCUAACCUCCCAGAAAUGAAUCCCAUAAUAAGAGUGAGAGCAGGGCUAAAUUCCAUACAAAGUAUGAGUCAUCCUUGCUUGUAGCUGGACUGGAAAUUUAUCUAAAUUGCUUCCCAUACUGAUCUUGAUAGUCUGUGUUCUGGCCUCUGGUAAAAGUGUUCCACUGUGAAAUAACUGCAAUGUACUUGGUGCAAUAGAAAUGGGUUAUAUGACAGUCAAGUGCUGAGCUACUUUCCUUUAAGUCAGUAAUAGAUAUUUUGGGCAAUAGAAUUUUGCAUGGGAAAUAGUAAUUCCUUUCUUAUUAAGGAAUGAAUUUAUUGCAUUUAUAUCUCAUCGGUUGCCCCACAAGAAGCCGUAGAAAUAACGUUUUCCAAAAAUAAUUCUGGUGGGUAUGUGUUAUCCUGCACUUUGAUCAAACACUGGUGGAAUCUACACACAUAUUUUUUUAAAAAAACAUUGCGAAAAUGCUUUUUUUAAAAAAAUGUUUUGAAAACUAUUGAAUUUGCCAUAGCUCACCAUAGCCAUCUAGUGUCAGAUUUGUAGAAUGCACUUUACAAUACACAUAACAUUUUAUUUGCAGCUGUAUAACUGUGUCCCCAGUCUUGAAAUUAUCAAUCAUUGGCUGUCUUAUUUUCUAAAGAAUACCCAGGAAGGGGUGGUGGGGUAACAACAUCGUACUGUAGCAUAGAACAAUGAGCAUAAUUGGAUGUGUUAGAAUCCCACAUACUUUGAGUGAGUUAAAUAUAAGAGUGGUAUUAUAAUAAAAAGAGUUUUAAAAUAUUCACUGCUUUUUUGAAACAUACACACAAAACCUGCCAUAGAAUUCAUUAAGGGGAUAUGUGUGUGUGUGUGUUUUCAUAUCAUGACUGUUUAGCCAUGGACCAAAUACCCUCUGGGUGGAAAAUGAGUAUCAUAUUCCUGAUUUAUAAGAAAGGGGAUAAGAAUGCUCUACAAAACCAUAGGCCAAUUAGCUUGUUAGACAUCUCAAAGCUAUACACAUGGUAUCCCUUUCAAAAAUUAUCAGACUGGUUGCGAAGUACAGUGGUACCUCGGGUUACAUAUGCUUCAGGUUACAUACACUUCAGGUUACAGACUCUGCUAACCCAGAAAUAGUGCUUCAGGUUAAGAACUUUGCUUCAGGGUGAGAACAGAAAUUGUGCUCCAGCGGCGCGGCACCAGCAGGAGGCCCCAUUAGCUAAAGUGGUGCUUCAGGUUAAGAACAGUUUCAGGUUAAGAACGGACCUCUGGAACGAAUUAAGUACUUAACCCGAGGUACCACUGUAACAACAAGUGGGGUUCAGAGGAUGACACAGUACCAUUGAUCAGUGUUUUGCUCUGAACCAUAGUAUAAGAAAAUAUACUAAGAACAUUCAGAACAAUCUUUAUGCUGCGUUAAAAUAUAGACCGUGGGGGGAAAUUCAAAUUGCCAACAUCAACUGCAGACUUAUGAGGGUCAGAGUAGGUUUAAAUGGUGGUAUGACUGACACUUUUAAAAUGUUGCUAGGAGUAAAGCAAGUUUGCAUUCCGGCUCCCACUCUUUUUAACCUUUCUAUUAAUGACUUGGUGCCAUAUUUAGCCAACACAAGCUCCUCCACUCCAGUAAUAAGGAACAGGAAAAUCUAAGUCUUGAUGGAUGCAGAUGAUUUAGUGCUCCUCUCUCUUUCCCAAUUGGGCCUCAAAAACCUCUUGGAGGUUUUCAGCACAUACUGUAAACAGGAAAGCCUAUCUAUAAAUUACUCUAAAAUGAAGAUUGUAAUUUGUGGCAGACACAGUCCUAGGUAUAAAUGGUGCUUGGAUCAGCAGGCUAUUAAACAAAUUUGCUUAUUUAGAUACCUGGGUAUCCUCUUUCAUGAAGCCAUCUUUUGGAAGUAUCAUAGAAUCAUAGCCUCAUAGAAUUGAAGAUAUGGAGACAGUGGAAGUCAAAGCACAGAAAACCAAGGGGACAUUGAUGAAGUUCUAUGACAAUAAGAAAGGGAAGUUGAUUGAACCUGCCCCAAAUAUAUUUGGUAGCAAAGUGCUUACUAAAAUGCUCUAUAUGGUGUUGAAAUCUGAGGCUUUGAUUCGAACUUCAUUCAAGUUUUGGAAACUGCAGAAUAUUUUGUUUCAGAAGCUGUACUCUCUACAAUCAGGAAUAUCAGCAGCUGUUCUUUGUACUGAAUCCAGGUGGCUGACAAUUAAGACAAGAGCAGACUGCGUGAUUCAAAUGGAUAUGACCCUCUUGCACAACAAAUUCAACGUCCUCCCCACCCCCACCAAGAAAAAGAAAUUGAUUUCCCCCCAGAAAGGAAAGUAAUGAGUUAACAAUUCCUU